UGGAAUGUCAAAUAUGACUUCUCCAAUUACAUUGCAGUGCAGUUUUGCUUUUCUCAAGCUACCACCAUCACUCAAGAGUCCAGUGUACUUCUGAGAAAGAUGAUCUAGUGUACGGCUACUGAUAGGUUGUCGUGAUGACCUUUGGACAUUCAGCUGAUCAGAUGUGAUAGUACACCACAGAUAACAAUGGCGACCUUCUCCUGAGAUACCAUAAAUGUGACAAAGGAACUCAUAGUCACCAGAUACAAAGAGACGGAUAGUAUAGUUACUGUGAAUAUCAGCUUUUUUGAAUUUCUGAUACCUGAUCUUGAAAUUUUUUUAAAGCAAUAUGCAGAUUGGUAGCAGAAUCUGGUGCCUCAAAUGCAGC
Molecule: long non-coding RNA, 367 nt
Organism: Amphimedon queenslandica
Lineage: Eukaryota; Metazoa; Porifera; Demospongiae; Haplosclerida; Niphatidae
Exons: 3
Source: RefSeq, a predicted model, not a curated record